GACCUCCCCGACGAAAAUACACCGAAACUUAAAGCGUCGAGUGAUCUCUGUAACGUCUCCACCAUCCAUAAAUCCAUUCUGUACUCUGAGUUUUUCCUUGAUUAAUCAACUCCUCCCACCUGAAGCAUUCAAUCUAUCUACCUCUUUGUAUCCUACAGUAACCGGCGGAAGCAUUCAAUCGAUUCUUUUUUCAGCUCGCUUCGUCUCUUUAAGCGAUCACUUCCUUUUCCCAAUUCCCUUUUUCAGGUACACAGAUUUCAUUUCACUUCGUUUCUUCCGCACUUUGCUUAUUGCUCGCUUAAUAAUGGAGUUAGAAAGGCAGAUCGAACGAUUGUGAUGCUCUUUUGGCUGCUGAAUCUCGUGCUCUGUCUGGAAAGUAAGGGAUCUAUUCUGCAAAAGCAUCUCUAGCCAUGCACAUCACCGACCUAACUGUGAUAAGUAAAUCUAUAUCUGAUAAACAAAGCUCAUUUUCAAUCGCUAAUUGGUAAGCAUAUAUAUUAUUUGUCUCUCUUCAAAGAAUCAGGAAAAUACCGGCUGUUGUUAAAUAUGUACUCAGUGGAGAGACGCAGCUAAGCUAUCUAUGUAAUGUAAUGAGACGCAAAAUCAUGCAGAGAGACGUCGAGAGAUUGAAGUUGAAACCGUGGAUUGAAUCGGUACGUUCUUGGAUCAAUGUGGGAGUUGAAGCAACUAUUCUUGAACAGGCAGAGAGAUAUGCUACUAACCAGAAACUGAAGAUUUGGGAGAAUUAUGUUAAAGGACAAGAACUAUCAAACGGAAGUACAGCCUUAGAAACCAAACAAAAAAGAGACCUCUGUUGCUGUCACAGAUGUACUUGGCGGUGGUCGAUUCUAUGUUCAGUCGGUUGGAGACCAGAAACUAGCUUCGAUUCAGAACCAUUUUGCAUCCAUGUUUGUUAAAGAUGCUCCCAUCAUCGUAUCCUUCAACUCUAAGAGAGGUGAUAUCGUUCUUGCACAGUUUAUCCUUGACUACUUUUGGAACCGUGCAAUGAUUGUGAAUUCACCACGAGGCGCUGUUGAGAUGAUAAAUUUGAAGUGUUCUACUUCGAUUAUGGAAACCAUGAAGUAGUCCCUAUAGCGCAAUCCCACCACUCCACCAGUAGACCCUUCGGUAUCAUUAGCACCAGGGCUUGCUUAGCUCUGGAGACUUGUCUACAUUAAGGUUCCAAGCUUGGAAGAAGAUUGUGGUCCUGAAGAAAAAAUAUCUUCACUUCUGAUUUUGGGAUGAAGAACCGAGACGCCGUAACCUUUCAGAUGAUACCCGCUUCGUCUAAUGCUUGCUGAAAUCAUUCACAUGUUGAUUGGAAUGAUUCACCAACUCGCUCCUCAUUGGCUAUCGUGAAAACGUUUAAAGAGUAAAUACGAGCUAAAGAGAAAGCAGAGUAAACAUAGUACUUUUUUUUAGCACAUAAUAAACAGAGUAGUUUAUUCUCUUUA
Molecule: RNA transcript, 1454 nt
Organism: Brassica oleracea var. oleracea
Lineage: Eukaryota; Viridiplantae; Streptophyta; Magnoliopsida; Brassicales; Brassicaceae
Exons: 5
Source: RefSeq, a predicted model, not a curated record